AAGCAGUGAUGACAAAUUAUGUGUAUGAAAAAUGAUGUAUAAUUCUAUACGCUAUACUGAGCUUUUG
Small nucleolar RNA from Ostrea edulis (European flat oyster), 67 nucleotides. RefSeq annotates it as small nucleolar RNA U54. The transcript has a single exon. The record is from RefSeq and is a predicted model, not a curated record. NCBI's taxonomy places the organism in Eukaryota, Metazoa, Mollusca, Bivalvia, Ostreida, Ostreidae.